Molecule: ribosomal RNA, 424 nt
Filed under: uncultured bacterium
Lineage: Bacteria
Description: bacterial SSU rRNA
Rfam family: Bacterial small subunit ribosomal RNA
Source: RNAcentral
UGAGGAAUAUUGGUCAAUGGACGAGAGUCUGAACCAGCCAAGUAGCGUGAAGGAUGACUGCCCUAUGGGUUGUAAACUUCUUUUAUAUGGGAAUAAAGUUUUCCACGUGUGGAAUUUUGUAUGUACCAUAUGAAUAAGGAUCGGCUAACUCCGUGCCAGCAGCCGCGGUAAUACGGAGGAUCCGAGCGUUAUCCGGAUUUAUUGGGUUUAAAGGGAGCGUAGAUGGGUUGUUAAGUCAGUUGUGAAAGUUUGCGGCUCAACCGUAAAAUUGCAAUUGAUACUGGCAGUCUUGAGUACAGUUGAGGUAGGCGGAAUUCGUGGUGUAGCGGUGAAAUGCUUAGAUAUCACGAAGAACUCCGAUUGCGAAGGCAGCUCACUGGACUGCAACUGACACUGAUGCUCGAAAGUGUGGGUAUCAAACAGG